GGUCAAGCUAAUAAGGGCUAAUGGUGGAUACCUAGG
RNAcentral lists this ribosomal RNA (36 nucleotides) under Kamptonema sp. PCC 6506. Its description in RNAcentral is "[Oscillatoria] sp. PCC 6506 partial 23S ribosomal RNA". The record is from RNAcentral. Lineage: Bacteria; Bacillati; Cyanobacteriota; Cyanophyceae; Oscillatoriales; Microcoleaceae.